Molecule: ribosomal RNA, 193 nt
Filed under: Staphylococcus hyicus
Lineage: Bacteria; Bacillati; Bacillota; Bacilli; Caryophanales; Staphylococcaceae
Description: partial 23S ribosomal RNA
Rfam family: Bacterial large subunit ribosomal RNA
Source: RNAcentral
CGGCAUAGCUGGGUAGCUAUGUAUGGACGGGAUAAGUGCUGAAAGCAUCUAAGCAUGAAGCCCCCCUCAAGAUGAGAUUUCCCAACUUCGGUUAUAAGAUCCCUCAAAGAUGAUGAGGUUAAUAGGUGCGAGGUGGAAGCGUAGCGAUACGUGGAGCUGACGAAUACUAAUCGAUCGAAGACUUAAUCAAUUU